UAGGGAAUCUUCCACAAUGGACGCAAGUCUGAUGGAGCAACGCCGCGUGAGUGAAGAAGGUCUUCGGAUCGUAAAGCUCUGUUGUUGGUGAAGAAGGAUAGAGGCAGUAACUGGUCUUUAUUUGACGGUAAUCAACCAGAAAGUCACGGCUAACUACGUGCCAGCAGCCGCGGUAAUACGUAGGUGGCAAGCGUUGUCCGGAUUUAUUGGGCGUAAAGCGAGCGCAGGCGGAAUGAUAAGUCUGAUGUGAAAGCCCACGGCUCAACCGUGGAACUGCAUCGGAAACUGUCAUUCUUGAGUGCAGAAGAGGAGAGUGGAACUCCAUGUGUAGCGGUGGAAUGCGUAGAUAUAUGGAAGAACACCAGUGGCGAAGGCGGCUCUCUGGUCUGCAACUGACGCUGAGGCUCGAAAGCAUGGGUAGCGAACAGGAUUAGAUACCCUGGUAGUCCAUGCCGUAAACGAUG
Molecule: ribosomal RNA, 464 nt
Filed under: uncultured bacterium
Lineage: Bacteria
Description: partial 16S ribosomal RNA
Rfam family: Bacterial small subunit ribosomal RNA
Source: RNAcentral